RNAcentral lists this signal recognition particle RNA (304 nucleotides) under Macaca fascicularis (crab-eating macaque). RNAcentral describes it as "Metazoan signal recognition particle RNA (ENSMFAG00000009560.2)". It matches the Rfam family "Metazoan signal recognition particle RNA". Rfam says of the family: The signal recognition particle (SRP) is a universally conserved ribonucleoprotein. It is involved in the co-translational targeting of proteins to membranes. The eukaryotic SRP consists of a 300-nucleotide 7S RNA and six proteins: SRPs 72, 68, 54, 19, 14, and 9. Lineage: Eukaryota; Metazoa; Chordata; Mammalia; Primates; Cercopithecidae. The record is from Rfam by way of RNAcentral.
GCUGGGUGCGGUGGCACGUGUCUGUAGUCCCAGCAACUCAGUAGGUUGAGAUGGGAGGAUUGCCUGAGGCUGGCAAUUCUGGGCUAUAGUACAGUAUGCUGUUCGAGUGUCCACACUAAGUUCAGCAUCAAUAAAUAUGGUGACCCCUCAGGAGCAGGGAAUCACCAGGUUGCCUAAGGAGGGAUGAACGGGCUCAGGUUGAAAGUGGAGCAGGUCAAAACUUCCAUGCUGAUGAGUAAUGAGAUCACACUUGUGAAUAGCCACUGCACUCCAACCAGGGCAACAUAGUGAGACACCAUCUCUU